Molecule: long non-coding RNA, 871 nt
Organism: Papaver somniferum (opium poppy)
Lineage: Eukaryota; Viridiplantae; Streptophyta; Magnoliopsida; Ranunculales; Papaveraceae
Exons: 3
Source: RefSeq, a predicted model, not a curated record
AGAAGAGCUCUCAUCAACUUAGAAGAAAAAAACAAUCUUUUGUCAUGCCGCCAGAACGACCGUCUCCUACGAUUUCACAGUAAUUGACGAAAUCUUCAUCUGAUGCUUUACGCGUAGUAGGUCGGGUACUGUUUCCGUUACCCCUAAUUUUUCAUUUAUUUCAUCGCUUCUGAAUAAGUAAUCGGGAAUUGAAUCUAGGGUUACACCGGGGAGUUCAGUACUGCACCGAAAACAGUAAUCUGAGAUGGCGAACGGUUCAACCACAUCAAAACCUAUUGAUGCAAAGGCAACUGUCUUUGGGGGAUACUUAUUUCUUUUCUACGGCUCCAUUUCCUUUUUGUUGUUUCUCUUUUCGGCGAUAAUUUCCAAGCUUCUUCCACCAUCUAGCAAUCAAAUAGUAUCAGCUGUUCAGAAUGACAGGUACUACUGUUUCCUGGUGCCGUUGACUCUUCCUGUUCUCGUGGUGGCUGUGUAUUUCCAUUGGCUCAGUAUGAAACUUUUUAAACAUGCAUGAAUUCAGUAUGAUGACCCAGAUAUAAUAAUGGAAUGAGGCCAGGACAAAAGGAUCACAGUGACAUAACACUCAAGCUUCUCAAUAAAUAUCCAGGAAGUGUAUGUUAAACUCUUUCACCGGACACUCUCACUUUUAUGGUGCUGUUUCACUCACUUGCAGUUGCUCAACCAAGUGCUCUUCUUUUUUUUUUUCUGUCAGAUGGUGAAAAUGCUUUAGGUAGACUGUUUAGAAAAAAUUGUAUCUUCAUCUUCUACUGAAGAGAAUGUAAGUAGCAAAUUCUGAAUAUUUUGACUGUUGUAUUUCAUUUGGAUCUGUAAGUUGAUAGCAUUCCAUUGUGUAGUCUACGCCUUCAAUAUA